UACGGGGGGAGCAAGCGUUGUUCGGAUUUACUGGGCGUAAAGGGCGCGUAGGCGGUCACUACAAGUCGGUUGUGAAAUCUCUGGGCUUAACUCAGAACGGUCAACUGAUACUGUUGGACUAGAGUGCAGAAGGGGCAACUGGAAUUCUCGGUGUAGCGGUGAAAUGCGUAGAUAUCGAGAGGAACACCUGCGGCGAAGGCGGGUUGCUGGGCUGACACUGACGCUGAGGCGCGAAAGCUAGGGGAGCGAACGGG
Molecule: ribosomal RNA, 254 nt
Filed under: uncultured bacterium
Lineage: Bacteria
Description: partial 16S ribosomal RNA
Rfam family: Bacterial small subunit ribosomal RNA
Source: RNAcentral